Molecule: ribosomal RNA, 249 nt
Filed under: uncultured bacterium
Lineage: Bacteria
Description: partial 16S ribosomal RNA
Rfam family: Bacterial small subunit ribosomal RNA
Source: RNAcentral
AUACGGAGGGUGCGAGCGUUGUUCGGAAUUACUGGGCGUAAAGGGCGCGUAGGCGGCCCACUGUAAGUCAGAUGUGAAAGUCCAGGGCUUAACCCUGGAAGUGCAUCUGAUACUGCAGAGCUUGAGUAUCGGAGGGGAAAGUAGAAUUCCCGGUGUAGAGGUGAAAUUCGUAGAUAUCGGGAGGAAUACCGGUGGCGAAGGCGACUUUCUGGACGAAUACUGACGCUGAUGCGCGAAAGCGUGGGGAGC